This 1103-nucleotide ribosomal RNA is filed under the name endosymbiont of Dicranotropis hamata. RNAcentral's name for it is "bacterial SSU rRNA". It matches the Rfam family "Bacterial small subunit ribosomal RNA", at positions 255 to 1362 of the family's 1533-position model. The record is from RNAcentral. Lineage: Bacteria; Pseudomonadati; Bacteroidota.
AGGUAUGGCUCACCAAGGCUACGAUGGGUAGGGGUUCUUAGUGGAAGGUCCCCCACACUGGCACUGAGAUACGGGCCAGACUCCUACGGGAGGCAGCAGUAGGGAAUAUUGGUCAAUGGGCGCAAGCCUGAACCAGCCAUGCCGCGUGCAGGAUGAAGGCUCUAUGAGUUGUAAACUGCUUUUGUACAGGAGCAAAAAAAUCCCUGCGGGGGUUCUUGAGAGUACUGUAAGAAUAAGCACCGGCUAAUUCCGUGCCAGCAGCCGCGGUAAUACGGAAGGUGCAAGCGUUAUCCGGUUUUAUUGGGUUUAAAGGGUGCGUAGGCGGCUUAUUAAGUCAGUUGUGAAAUCCUAGUGCUUAACGCUAGAACUGCGAUUGAUACUAUUAGGCUUGAGUUAAGAAGAGGUAGGCAGAAUUUAUGGUGUAGUAGUGAAAUGCUUAGAUAUCAUAAGGAAUACCAAUAGCGUAGGCAGCUUACUGGUCUUUAACUGACGCUGAGGCACGAAAGCGUGGGGAGCAAACAGGAUUAGAUACCCUGGUAGUCCACGCCGUAAACGAUGAUCACUCGAUAUACAUGAUACUUCGUGUGUGUCUAAGCGAAAGCGUUAAGUGAUCCACCUGGGGAGUAUACUCGCAAGGGUGAAACUCAAAGGAAUUGACGGGGGUCCGCACAAGCGGUGGAGUAUGUGGUUUAAUUCGAUAAUACGCGAGGAACCUUACCUGGGCUAGAAUGUAUUUUGCUACCUCAAGAAAUUGAGGGUUCCUUCGGGACGGAAUACAAGGUGCUGCAUGGCUGUCGUCAGCUCGUGCCGUGAGGUGUUGGGUUAAGUCCUAUAACGAGCGAAACCCUUUUACUUAAUUGCCAGCACGUAAUGGUGGGGACUUUAAGUAGACUGCCCGUGUAAGCGGGAGGAAGGAGAGGACGAGGUCAAGUCAUCAUGGCCUUUAUGCCCAGGGCUACACACGUACUACAAUGGCAUGUACAAAGGGAAGCUACUUGGUAACAAGAUGCAAAUCUUAAAAGCAUGUCUCAGUUCGGAUUGAGGUCUGCAAUUCGACCUCAUGAAGUUGGAAUCGCUAGUAAUCGCGUAUCAGCAAGACGCGG